AUUGAACGCUGGCGGCAUGCCUUGCACAUGCAAGUCGAGCGGCAGCACGGGUGCUUGCACCUGGUGGCGAGUGGCGAACGGGUGAGUAAUACAUCGGAACAUGUCCUGUAGUGGGGGAUAGCCCGGCGAAAGCCGGAUUAAUACCGCAUACGAUCUACGGAUGAAAGCGGGGGACCUUCGGGCCUCGCGCUAUAGGGUUGGCCGAUGGCUGAUUAGCUAGUUGGUGGGGUAAAGGCCUACCAAGGCGACGAUCAGUAGCUGGUCUGAGAGGACGACCAGCCACACUGGGACUGAGACACGGACCAGACUCCUACGGGAGGCAGCAGUGGGGAAUUUUGGACAAUGGGCGAAAGCCUGAUCCAGCAAUGCCGCGUGUGUGAAGAAGGCCUUCGGGUUGUAAAGCACUUUUGUCCGGAAAGAAAUCCUUGGCCCUAAUACGGUCGGGGGAUGACGGUACCGGAAGAAUAAGCACCGGCUAACUACGUG
This 486-nucleotide ribosomal RNA is filed under the name uncultured bacterium. RNAcentral describes it as "partial 16S ribosomal RNA". It matches the Rfam family "Bacterial small subunit ribosomal RNA", at positions 30 to 507 of the family's 1533-position model. The record is from RNAcentral.